Lathyrus oleraceus (garden pea) is the source of this 1042-nucleotide long non-coding RNA. RefSeq lists it as uncharacterized. The record is from RefSeq and is a predicted model, not a curated record. Lineage: Eukaryota; Viridiplantae; Streptophyta; Magnoliopsida; Fabales; Fabaceae. The transcript has 2 exons.
AAGAGCAAAGGCAAACCCAGGAAACUCGUUUUUUGGAUGGUGACAAGUGUCCAGGGUUGGUGACACUUGUCACCACUAUCCUCACACUUUCAUCAGCCAUAUUAAAACAAAAAUGGGAAAAUAAAACAUCAUUCUUCAAGAGUUUUUCUCUCUCUAACUCCUAAAGCAGAUGUACGCUCUGCAAUUACACACACUCUCUCUUUGACCUACCUGCCGGAGAAGAAGGUGGCAGGCGGCCAUCCACGGUGGCGCCGCCCCUCUACUCCGGCGAACAAACAAAAAUUUCACCUUCCCCAUUAAAAUACUCUCCUGAGUUUGAAUCUAAACUCAGAUUCUUCACCACUAUCCCUAAUCGUCCGGAUCGGGGACGUCUAACUAAAACCCUAAGACCAAAAUCGAAUCAACAAUAGUGAAGGUCUCCCCCAAUUAAACAUGGAUUCCUCUCAAGUCUGCAAGGUGAGUACAAAAGUGAAGCGGAGGAAAGAAAAGAAGAGAUAAAGGAGAGAGGUGUAUACUACCUCGGAAUUAGUCUAAAGGGCGCACCUCCGACGAGCUUAGGUGAAGUGAUGUUGAUGCUGAUUGAUUGAAAAAGGGGCACUGUUAUUCAACAGGUUUUUUGGAAAAGUUCUGAAGAGUUGCUUUUGAAUUGGGAACUUCCAAAAGAGCUUUUGGAAGAGUCUGUGAAAUUUGCUUCAAACUGCUGUGUUUACAGCUUAUUCCAAUUUUUUAAAUAAAAUUAUUUCUGAUGUAACAGAGACUUUUUGGAUUAUGAACUUAGGGAUUGCUUGUAACAUGUACAAACUUAAUUUGGAAUUUCUCUUUUUGGGCAGUUAUGUAAUUGUUUUGGAUUAUGAAGAAUUUUUGGAUUAGUUAGGAUAUAUUAAACUGUAAGAAAAAUUGGGUUAGACGUGUAACCCUUUGGAUCAUUUGCAAAAUUUACAUAAUUUUAAUUUAAGUUUUUUUUGUUAUUUAUGUGGAUACUUUUGGGUUGUUAUGUAACAUUUGGAUUAAAUUGGAAUAUCACUUGGAGCAUUAUUUGGAA